AGAAAGAGUGUGUGUGUGUGUGUGUGCGUGUGUGUGUGUAUUUGCCGUGUGCAUAUCACAAAGUUUUCUAAUACAUGUGGGUGUUGGCUACUCCUAUCUCAAGGAAACACCUCUCCCAAGAUGCUCAAUUCAUGACCCACAAAGUCAACAAGGGGAGGUCCUGAACUUAUCAGUGCCUGCUGCUAUGAGUCAUGCCAUUAAUCAAUACCAGUGUGAAUCAUCACAAAGUGUGUCCAGGGAACACAGACCAAGAAUAUCAGUCCUUUAACAAAAGUUUUGGCUGAUAAUUUACACAAUGAAAACAGAAAGGCAAAAGCAACAUAAACUCCUAUACCUAAAUUGCAUUGCAAUAGCACAUAUUCUUUAGAGCAGUGGUCCCCAAACAUUUUGGUGCCAGGGACCAGUUUCGUGGAAGACAAUUUUUUCAUGGACAAGGCAGGGGUGGGUAGAUGGUUUCAGGGUGAAACUGUUUCACCUCAGAUCAUCAGGCAUUAGAUUCUCAUAAGAAGCACGCAACCUAGAUCACAAUAGGGUUUAUUCUCCUAUGAGAAUCUAAUGCCA
Sapajus apella (tufted capuchin) is the source of this 561-nucleotide long non-coding RNA. RefSeq lists it as uncharacterized. NCBI's taxonomy places the organism in Eukaryota, Metazoa, Chordata, Mammalia, Primates, Cebidae. The transcript is spliced from 3 exons. The record is from RefSeq and is a predicted model, not a curated record.